This 492-nucleotide ribosomal RNA is filed under the name uncultured bacterium. Its description in RNAcentral is "partial 16S ribosomal RNA". It matches the Rfam family "Bacterial small subunit ribosomal RNA", at positions 29 to 507 of the family's 1533-position model. The record is from RNAcentral.
AGUGAACGCUGGCGGUAGGCCUAACACAUGCAAGUCGAACGGCAGCACAGUAAGAGCUUGCUCUUACGGGUGGCGAGUGGCGGACGGGUGAGGAAUACAUCGGAAUCUACUUUUUCGUGGGGGAUAACGUAGGGAAACUUACGCUAAUACCGCAUACGACCUACGGGUGAAAGCAGGGGUUCUUCGGACUUUGCGCGAUUGAAUGAGCCGAUGUCGGAUUAGCUAGUUGGCGGGGUAAAGGCCCACCAAGGCGACGAUCCGUAGCUGGUCUGAGAGGAUGAUCAGCCACACUGGAACUGAGACACGGUCCAGACUCCUACGGGAGGCAGCAGUGGGGAAUAUUGGACAAUGGGCGCAAGCCUGAUCCAGCCAUACCGCGUGGGUGAAGAAGGCCUUCGGGUUGUAAAGCCCUUUUGUUGGGAAAGAAAAGCAGCAGGUUAAUACCCCGCUGUUCUGACGGUACCCAAAGAAUAAGCACCGGCUAACUUCGUG